GCACUCUACCACCAUGAAUCCACUCCUGAUCCUUGCCUUUGUGGGAGCUGCUGUUGCUGUCCCCUUUGAUGAUGAUGACAAGAUCGUUGGGGGCUACACCUGUGAGGAGAAUUCUGUCCCCUACCAGGUGUCCUUGAAUUCUGGCUCCCACUUCUGCGGUGGCUCCCUCAUCAGCGAACAGUGGGUGGUGUCAGCAGGUCACUGCUACAAGCCGUAAGUGUGGUGCCACUGACUGCAAAGCUCCCAGCCAGGCUGCCUGGGAGAGCUUGGCUUCAGCCCAGAGAACUACUGAGGUUGGGUAAGAUGGAUGGGAGAGGUGGUGGAGAAAAAACUUGUUUUCAGCAGCUGACUCUCCAGAGCAGAGAGUGAACACAAGACAGGAAGCUCUCACACCCAGACAAAUCCAUGAAACAGCAAGGGUUGUGGUCAUAAAAGCAGGCAGGGAUGAUCUUGGGGUGGUGAGAGCUAGUGAGAAAAGCAGGAAAGUACCUUUAGCUAGUUAGCUACACCUUAAAGCCACCUAAGAAAGAGUUUUUAAAAAUACUGAUGCCUGUGUC
This 557-nucleotide long non-coding RNA is filed under the name Homo sapiens (human). RNAcentral's name for it is "long non-coding RNA NONHSAT123826". The record is from RNAcentral. Lineage: Eukaryota; Metazoa; Chordata; Mammalia; Primates; Hominidae.